GGGGGAUUAGCUCAGCUGGGAGAGCACCUGCUUUGCAAGCAGGGGGUCGUCGGUUCGAUCCCGUCAUCCUCCA
Paraburkholderia caribensis is the source of this 73-nucleotide non-coding RNA. NCBI's taxonomy places the organism in Bacteria, Pseudomonadati, Pseudomonadota, Betaproteobacteria, Burkholderiales, Burkholderiaceae. The record is from Rfam.